Molecule: ribosomal RNA, 253 nt
Filed under: uncultured bacterium
Lineage: Bacteria
Description: partial 16S ribosomal RNA
Rfam family: Bacterial small subunit ribosomal RNA
Source: RNAcentral
UACGUAGGGGGCAAGCGUUGUCCGGAUUUAUUGGGCGUAAAGAGCGUGUAGGCGGUUCGGUAGGUCCGUUGUGAAAACUCGAGGCUCAACCUCGAGACGCCGAUGGAAACCAUCGAACUAGAGUCCGGAAGAGGAGAGUGGAAUUCCUGGUGUAGCGGUGAAAUGCGCAGAUAUCAGGAAGAACACCCGUGGCGAAGGCGGCUCUCUGGGACGGUACUGACGCUGAGACGCGAAAGCGUAGGGAGCGAACAGG